GAUGAACGCUGGCGGCGUGCCUAAUACAUGCAAGUCGAGCGAACAGACGAGGAGCUUGCUCCUCUGACGUUAGCGGCGGACGGGUGAGUAACACGUGGUUAACCUACCUAUAAGACUGGGAUAACUUCGGGAAACCGGAGCUAAUACCGGAUAAUAUAUUGAACCGCAUGGUUCAAUAGUGAAAGACGGUUUUGCUGUCACUUAUAGAUGGAUCCGCGCCGCAUUAGCUAGUUGGUAAGGUAACGGCUUACCAAGGCAGCGAUGCGUAGCCGACCUGAGAGGGUGAUCGGCCACACUGGAACUGAGACACGGUCCAGACUCCUACGGGAGGCAGCAGUAGGGAAUCUUCCGCAAUGGGCGAAAGCCUGACGGAGCAACGCCGCGUGAGUGAUGAAGGUCUUCGGAUCGUAAAACUCUGUUAUUAGGGAAGAACAAAUGUGUAAGUAACUAUGCACGUCUUGACGGUACCUAAUCAGAAAGCCACGGCUAACUACGUG
This 497-nucleotide ribosomal RNA is filed under the name uncultured bacterium. RNAcentral describes it as "partial 16S ribosomal RNA". It matches the Rfam family "Bacterial small subunit ribosomal RNA", at positions 28 to 507 of the family's 1533-position model. The record is from RNAcentral.